UUCGUGAUCCGUGCCUGGCCCUCCUAGGAAGCCUCGUGUGGAUGGUUAGCUUUUCGUUGGGGUCCAAGAACGUGGCCAAAAGGGAUAUCAGACGGACUCUACGAAUCGGACGGCUGUGGGAUGACAUGGGACGGUUUCGAUGGCCACGAGCCCUCAUCACACUGGACCCUACAUUAACUUCUGAGAGUAGAAGCAAGAAUCACCUCCAACCCACCGCCCACUAAAGUUAGUUAUUCCUCUCUCUCUCCGCAACUCUAAUUGAUGGUUUGUGCUAUUUAAUUUAAUUUAAUUUAAACGCGCUUCAUCUUCCGCUUCUUUGGUUUUAGUUCCUUCUUUGUUCCUUUCUUGGAUCUCUUGUCGCCUCAUCGAACCUUUUGAUAAACUGGUUUGGUUUGGUUUGAUCUCCCGUGCGAAUCGCUUCGUCCUCUGCCGUAAAUUCCAGUUCCAGGUGAGACCCGGUUUCUUGAUGUCGCUAAAAGUGGCGAAGGAUCGAUGCGGGGUUUUCUUCGUUUCGAUUCUUGUAUAUGAUUGUUUCUUUAGAUUUCUCUUCCUCGUGUGAUUGUUCGCUUUUUCGUUGGGGUCCAAGAAAGUGGCGAAGGCUCGAUGCGGGGUUUUCGUCGUUUCGAUUCUUGUAUGUUUCUGUUUCCAAGUGGCGAAGGAUCGAUGUGAGGUUUUCUCGGGUUCGAUUCUUGUAUGUGUCUGUUUCCAAGUGACGAAGGAUCGAUGUGAGGUUUUCUUCGUUUCGAUUCUUGUAUGUGUCUGUUCCAAGUGGCGAAGGAUCGAUGUGAGGUUUUCUUGGGUUCGAUUCUUGUAUGCGUCUGUUUCCAAGUGGCGACGGAUCGAUGUGCGGUUUUCUUCGUUUCGAUUCUUGUCUGUGUCUUUUUCGCGUGAUCUUGUGACGAGUAGUUCGCUUUUUGUUGGGGUCCAAGAAAGUGGCGAAGGAUCGAUGUGGGGUUUUCUUCGUCGAUCGAUUUGCUUCGUCUCCGAGUCAUGGAAUUAUCCGGACGCUGGAGAACAGAUUCCAGGAAGAAUUGUGUCAUAUAUCGGUGCCAAUGAGUUCUAAGAACAUCCACGAAGGUGCUAAGAAGGAAAUCACUUCAUGGCAGGAGACAUCAACUUAGGACAAAAUAGCCAAAAAUAAAAUAUGAUGAUGAGGAAACCAUGAAACUCACUUUUGCUGAUAUUUCUCAAGUGAAUUUUCCUGCCAUUUCUGAUUUUUUUUACCUUUUAACUAUUUAAUGAUGUGAAAGUUCUUAAUGUCAGAACGUGUUGUUGAUAGCUUGACUUGGCAACACUUAUUUCUCAAAAUAGCCAAUGUAUUAUUAUUUAUGAGAAAUUUAUGAUUGACCAGAAAGACUUGUCAAUUCUAAUGAACAUAGAUGUCUGCUAUUUGUGUA
Long non-coding RNA from Musa acuminata AAA Group (dessert banana), 1397 nucleotides. RefSeq lists it as uncharacterized. The transcript is spliced from 3 exons. The record is from RefSeq and is a predicted model, not a curated record. Lineage: Eukaryota; Viridiplantae; Streptophyta; Magnoliopsida; Zingiberales; Musaceae.